Molecule: ribosomal RNA, 408 nt
Filed under: Triticum aestivum (bread wheat)
Lineage: Eukaryota; Viridiplantae; Streptophyta; Magnoliopsida; Poales; Poaceae
Description: partial small subunit ribosomal RNA
Source: RNAcentral
AUGCGUCGCCGCGACAGUAUGUCCCUGUUGACCGUUGGUGCCACCAGUCUGCUGAUGGUCCUCAUGGUCACCAGGGAGCUUGUCAUUGAUGUUCUCCACGACGCCCUUCUUCUCGCCGGUGUCGGCGCCGUGCAUCCCCGUGCCGGUGGCUCCGGUGUGUCCGUGCUGCCCGUAGGCACCAUCGGUGACCGGGGUGCCAUGCGUCCCCGCAGUGGUGUGUCCCUGCUGCCCGUGGGUGGCAGCGGCCGGCUGGUGAUCACCGUGGCUGCUGGAGAGCUUCUCCUUGAUCUUGCUCAUGAUGCUCUUCUUCUCGCCGGUGCCGUGUCCCUGGUGCUCCAUCCAGCGCCGAACUUGUCACUCGGGAAAUCUACUAGUGGUGUUGUUCACUUGGAGCAGGUGGUUGUGUGA